This 490-nucleotide long non-coding RNA is filed under the name Mytilus galloprovincialis (Mediterranean mussel). Lineage: Eukaryota; Metazoa; Mollusca; Bivalvia; Mytilida; Mytilidae. The record is from RNAcentral.
GAAUACUUUUAGUUUUCGCACUCUAACUUAAGUAAAAGUGAAUAGAAAUCUAUGAAAUUUUAACACAAGGUUUAUGACCACAAAAGGAAGGUUGGGAUUGAUUUUGGGAGUUUUAGUCCCAACAUUUUAGGAAUUAGGGGCCAAAAAGGGCCCAAAUAAGCAUUUUCUUGGUUUUCGCACUAUAACUUUAGUUUAAGUAAAUAGAAAUCUAUGAAAUUUUGACAUAAGGUUUAUGACCACAAAAGAAAGGUUGGGAUUGAUUUUGGGAGUUUUGGUUCCAACAGUUUAGGAAUUAGGGGCCAAAAAAGGGCCCAAAUAAGCAUUAUUCUUGGUUUUCGCACAAUAACUUAGUUUAAGUAAAUAGAAAUCAAUGAAAUUUAAACACAAUGUUUAUGACCACAAAAGAAAGGUUGGUAUUGAUUUUGGGAGUUUAGGUCCCAACAGUUUAGGAAUUAGGGGCCAAAAAGGGACCCAAAUAAGCAUUUUUUUU